AUCCUGGCUCAGAUUGAACGCUGGCGGCAUGCCUAACACAUGCAAGUCGAACGGUAGCACAGUAGAGCUUGCUCUAUGGGUGACGAGUGGCGGACGGGUGAGUAAUGCAUCGGGACCUACCUAGACGUGGGGGAUAACGUAGGGAAGCUUACGCUAAUACCGCAUACGUCCUACGGGAGAAAGCAGGGGACCUUCGGGCCUUGCGCGGUUAGACGGACCGAUGUUCGAUUAGCUUGUUGGUAGGGUAAUGGCCUACCAAGGCGACGAUCGAUAGCUGGUCUGAGAGGAUGAUCAGCCACACUGGGACUGAGACACGGCCCAGACUCCUACGGGAGGCAGCAGUGGGGAAUAUUGGACAAUGGGCGCAAGCCUGAUCCAGCAAUGCCGCGUGUGUGAAGAAGGCCUUCGGGUUGUAAAGCACUUUUAUCAGGAACGAAAUCCUACUGGUUAAUACCCGGUGGGUCUGACGGUACCUGAGGAAUAAGCACCGGCUAACUUCGUG
Molecule: ribosomal RNA, 502 nt
Filed under: uncultured Dyella sp.
Lineage: Bacteria; Pseudomonadati; Pseudomonadota; Gammaproteobacteria; Lysobacterales; Rhodanobacteraceae
Description: bacterial SSU rRNA
Rfam family: Bacterial small subunit ribosomal RNA
Source: RNAcentral